Bos taurus (domestic cattle) is the source of this 72-nucleotide non-coding RNA. Lineage: Eukaryota; Metazoa; Chordata; Mammalia; Artiodactyla; Bovidae. The record is from Rfam.
UCCCUGGUGGCUCAGUGGUGGAGAGUCUGCCUGCCAAUGCAGGGGACACGGGUUCGAUCCCUGCUCUGGGAA